AUCAGUUGCCCCAAUACGAUAAUAAUGUCCGAAACUCAGAGUUACACCCUAAGUUAAAGACCAAACUCUUCGUCCCUUUCUCUCGUCUUCCUCAUCAAUCGAAAACCCUAAUUCGUCAUUUCCGGCCGGCGACGAGGUCAAACCACCAUCAAAAUUCAACCAGCCCAGCAUCGCCCAUCCUCGAUUCCUAAUCUAUCUUUAUUUCUCAUAAAAUCCUCACCAAGUUGGACCAGUUUCGAAUCAGAAGUUGAAGGGCAGAAAUAUCGCAGAGUGUUCAAGCCUUUAGGAAAUGAUUUGACCUGAGAUCAAUAUUGUUCGUUUGUUUCCAAGGAGAGCAUGCGACCAAUAUCAAUCUCGGGUCAAAUCGGGGAUGCCGGAGUUUAUUCGAAGCCAAUCAUUCAUUUUCUCUCCUAGGUAUUUCUCGUCGAUUCUUUCAUUCUCCUCAUUUUCUGUUUGGUUUACACUUUUUCUCCAUCCUUUAGCUCAUCAUUGUCCUUCCUUGCCUUAUCAUGUUUUUAAUUGCUUGUUUGUCAUUAUUUUCUCGGAAAAGUGUCAUUAAGAUCGAAUCGAUUAACCUAGCAAUUAGCUUCGAUGUUGAAUUAUCUCUUUAUGCCCUUAUUGAUUCCAGUUCCAGAUUUUCUUUAAGUGUUUUGUGUUGAUUUGAGCUUUGUUUGGAUUAUACUGUAUUUGUCUUUUUUAGCAUAAGGAUGUCUAGUUGAGUUGGGUCACCAGACUGGUGGGUUAUGUAUGAUUGCUCGUUAGGGUCUUUGUGUAAAAGUUUUUGGGCCAGGUCGUCCCAUAGUAGUAUUAAGCCCACUUAGGGAUUCGAAUCAGGGUCCAGGGCCCAAUUAGCUUAACCAGCAGCCCUGUAGGUUCAAGGUAAAUAGUAGUAAUUAAACAGGGGCACAAAGGCUGUCUAGGGGUGUUUUGGUCAUUGGGAAAGGGAAUAUUUUCUGUUAUGGGAAAACUUCUACAGGAUAAGGCUGGAAUGACAUGUGAGCUACAUAUAUGUUGAGGGAAAGGAUAAGAGGGUAAAAAGGCUAAGGUGAAUAAGGGUGUAAAAAGGGAAAUGUACUUAAGGAAUCCUAGGUGGGAAACUUCUAGGUUGGGGUUUAAGCUGUAAUUCUCAGCUUUUGGGAGUAUUUACUUGAGCAACAAGUUUAAAUUUAAGGGACUAGGGGCUGAAAUAAGGAGGGGCUGUUAGAAUGUGAGGGCUGACCUUUUCUCUUGCCUAUAUAAGGCAUAUACCAGGCCUCAAAAAGAGGACCUUGGUCGAGAAUUUCCAUCUCAAAAACCACAAAACAUCUGACUCUUAUCCCACUUUCAACUACAUUUUAGUUUUCGUUAGCACUUAAAUACAGAAAAAUAAAAAAAAGUAGAUAUAAAAACCAGAAAACAACAAAAUGUUACUACUGUUUCAUUGAUUUGGCUGCUGAUUCUUGGAGUCGUUGGAUUUUGACUGUUCUAGAGCCUUGUUUGAGUUUGUGUGGGGUUAUUCUUGGUGUUGGAGGGCUGUUUUGGUUGUCUUGAGCUUUCAAGUGAAUCCCUUUUUGAUUCUGGCUGGUUUUUUUUGAAUUGUCACUCCAAUAUCUGGGUUGGAUUGCUGUUGACAUUUUGCUCUAUUGACUAUUCAAGCUGCUGCUGAUUCUUUGCUUGUUGAAUUCCAUUUCCAGGUACCAUUUUGAACCCUCUGUCAUGUAGUUGUGAGGUGGAUGAUGAAAUAAAGAAGUCUCAUGGAUUUAUGUGAUUAUGAAUGCCUCCUGUUGAAUGAUUCAUAGUUGUAUUAAGGUGUUAGUUUCACUCGAUCUUAUGUGAGUUCUAUCGUAGUUGUAAGGUUGAAUAAUACAUUGUUAGCUUACUGGGAAUUCGUUUAGAUUGGAAUUUGUAUAACUGGACUUGAAACUGUGUUGGUACUAUUUAAAAAUUGUUUAAGUUCGAUUGCAUUUGGUUUGGGCUUUGUAUUUGAAUUAAACGGGACAAUAUGGUGUUAACAUAAGGACUAUGUAGAUUCUUAAAAUUAGAACAUUGGGAUUUACAUUUUAGUUUAGUUGGUUGGAAUCAGUGAUCAUAUUAUUUCUGUGCAAUUUCUUCUUUUAAGUUAGAUAAAUAACUGAAAUAGGGUUUGAAAUUGCAAUAGUUCAUUUUGAAAAGUUGAUAAUUGCUUGAAUGUGUCACGAAGUAAUUGAAAUAGGCAUCUGUUGCUCAUCUUUUGAUAAUCAGUAAGAUCUAAAAUUGGAAUAGCAUGAAAUAUUUUUAAUUGUGUGAUAAUUAAUUGGUUAAUUUUGAUUACCGUUUCACUCAUUGAAUCCGAGCCUUCACUGGGGUUCGAUUUCCCAAAUCAGCCCCAUCGGUUGGCUGUGUUGUGCCACAGCCCAACUACGGUUGCCUGCAGACUCGUUUGGUUGAAGUUGUGCCACAGCCCAAUUUUGGUCAAUCAUGCAGGGAUUCGAUAUCCCAUCUUUUGUUGCCUUCCGUCAAGCUCAAAUUGGGCCAGCCCUUCGGGCCCAGUUCAAAUGUUCUUUCAAUUGGUUUAAUUGGUAUUUGGAAUUCGGGUUCUUGAGUUAGGAAGUGGCUUUUAAGCUAAAAGGUUUGUCCUUUUGUUUGGACCCAGACCUGAACCCGAGGCCUGGAUUUUGAAUAGAAUC
RNAcentral lists this long non-coding RNA (2645 nucleotides) under Nicotiana benthamiana. RNAcentral's name for it is "long non-coding RNA (NBEN_LNC025153)". Lineage: Eukaryota; Viridiplantae; Streptophyta; Magnoliopsida; Solanales; Solanaceae. The record is from RNAcentral.